Molecule: ribosomal RNA, 630 nt
Filed under: Chlorella vulgaris
Lineage: Eukaryota; Viridiplantae; Chlorophyta; Trebouxiophyceae; Chlorellales; Chlorellaceae
Description: eukaryotic LSU rRNA
Rfam family: Eukaryotic large subunit ribosomal RNA
Source: RNAcentral
ACCCGUGAUUUUAAGCAUAUCAAUAAGCGGAGGAAAAGAAACUAACCAGGAUGCCCUUAGUAACGGCGAGCGAACCGGGCAGAGCCCAACUUGAAAAUCUCCAGCCUCCGGCUGGCGAAUUGUAGUCUAGAGAAGUGCUCUCUGCCUCAGUCCGGCCCCAAGUCCCCUGGAAAGGGGCGUCAGAGAGGGUGAGAACCCCGUUGGGACCGGUGCCUGUGGCUCCACGAGACGCUUUCGAAGAGUCGGGUUGUUUGGGAAUGCAGCCCAAAGCAGGUGGUAAAUCCCAUCUAAGGCUAAAUACAGACGGGAGACCGAUUGCGAACAAGUACCGCGAGGGAAAGAUGAAAAGAACUUUGAAAAGAGAGUUAAAAAGUGCUUGAAAUUGUUGAGAGGGAAGCGAUUGGAUCCUAUGGGUGCGCCCAGGCACACGCCUGCCUAACGGUUGGCUGAAUGCGCUGGGUGCUGGUCAGCAUGGGUUGGCCGGGCGGGACAAACCCGGGGGUUGUUACCCCGGCUAUGUCGCCUGGCCGACCGAGGAAAGAAGGGCGCUCUCUGAGUCCUCCGGGAACUGCGUCCUCAAGAUGCUGGCGGAAAGGUUCCAAUCGGCCCGUCUUGAAACACGGACCAAGG